UACGGAGGGGGCAAGCGUUAUUCGGAAUUACUGGGCGUAAAGGGCUCGUAGGUGGCCAACUAAGUCAGACGUGAAAUCCCUCGGCUUAACCGGGGAACUGCGUCUGAUACUGGAUGGCUUGAGUUCGGGAGAGGGAUGCGGAAUUCCAGGUGUAGCGGUGAAAUGCGUAGAUAUCUGGAGGAACACCGGUGGCGAAGGCGGCAUCCUGGACCGACACUGACGCUGAGGAGCGAAAGCCAGGGGAGCAAACGGG
This 253-nucleotide ribosomal RNA is filed under the name uncultured bacterium. Its description in RNAcentral is "partial 16S ribosomal RNA". It matches the Rfam family "Bacterial small subunit ribosomal RNA", at positions 524 to 776 of the family's 1533-position model. The record is from RNAcentral.